GGACCCGUAGCUCAGCGGUAGAGCAUCUGAUUCCAGUGGAAGCAGCAUCCAGAAGGUCAUCCGUUCAAAUCGGGUCGGGUUCA
Xylaria digitata is the source of this 83-nucleotide non-coding RNA. The record is from the annotation of a GenBank genome assembly. Lineage: Eukaryota; Fungi; Ascomycota; Sordariomycetes; Xylariales; Xylariaceae.